Molecule: long non-coding RNA, 2051 nt
Organism: Vicia villosa (hairy vetch)
Lineage: Eukaryota; Viridiplantae; Streptophyta; Magnoliopsida; Fabales; Fabaceae
Exons: 4
Source: RefSeq, a predicted model, not a curated record
UGGUUGGAAAAAUUAAACAAUAUUAUAUUAAUUAACUUUCUGAUAGAAACACUACAUUUCUCUCUUCCUCUUCCUUUUUCUCUCUCAUUCUCUUUCCUAAUUUUUCAACUUUUUCUCUUUCUCUCAUUUUUUUCUCAGGUCUUACUUCAUUGUUUAGAAGCUUAUUUUGUUCUACUUCAGAUCUACGAAACUUUGGCGGCGGCUAUGGCGUUUCCGGCGAUUUUACGGUAGUAGGCGUUUUCACAAUGGUAGAUCUGUUGCAGCGACAACAUGUUUCCGACGACGAGCAUGGUGGUGGUUGGAUUCGAAAUGCUUUAUGUGUGAUUUCUUCAGUUUAGGUUUUCAACUUUGGAGAACCAACGUUUACUUUUAAGCAUUUGGCUUUCAAUAUUACAGACAAUGGUGAAAGUGAUGAUUGUUGAUGAAAUGGUUGUUGUGUUUUCUUUUCAUUAUCUGUAACAUUGAUACAAACCCUAAAAAUCAACAAUGUUCAUAUUUCUUUAUUUAUUUUCCAAUCUCAUAUUUUUUUGUAUUGAUUUGCAUUUAUUACUCAAAAAGUCAUCUAGAUUGUUCAGAUUCUUACUGAUCUCUUUCUAUUCAAGGGAAACCAGUGAAAAAGAUUGUUUUUUAUUUAGUUGGAGCUAAAUUUCUUGGGAAUGUGAAAUUUAUACUUUGUUGGUAAGAAAGUUGAUAAAUAAAUGUUGCUGCCAAAUUAAAUACUAUGUGAUAAUAUGAAACAAUCUUUUAAUUUAUAAUUAUUUUUUAUUUUUUAUUGUAUUUCAAGAUGCUUUGUUAUGUUAACCAUACAUUUUUUGAGUUAUCAUAAACUGAUAAAAGCUUCAAUUUUAACAGAGACAAAAUGAAAGCAGAGAAAGUCUAAGUAAAUUUCACUAUGGAGCUUCAAUUUUAACAGAGAUAAAAAGAAAGCAGAGAAAGUCUAAGUAGAUUGCACUAUGGAUUUAGAAGUGGAUGUUGGGGUGAGUAAAACAAGUUCUUUUUUAUUUGAUUUGAUGGUUUGAUUUCUUGAAAUGUUUUAUGUGAUUUCGGUAAGUUCAGGUGUUGCGACGACUAUAGCGUUUCCGGCGGCUUCUAUGGCGUUUCGACUCUCUUACCACAGUUUGCGGUUUCGCGGUGGAAGAUAUCUUGCGGCGCCAAGUAUGAUGGUAGCUUUGUUUGAAAUGUUAUAUAAUAAUGUAUUUUGGAAUUUCUAUUAUGAUUUGUAUCAAAUUAUGGUAUUUCUAAACAAAUAUUUGAUUUUAUAUGGCAUAUAGUUUCAUUUUUUGCAGAGAUGUUUAUGGAAUUUCUAUAAUGAUUUGUAUCAAAUUACGGUAUUUCUAAACAAAUAUUCUAUUAUGAUUUUAUAUAAUAAUGUUUGAUUUUAAUUUUUUGGGUUUUUAGUUUUAUUUUAUUUUAUUUUUUUGUGUUUGGUUUGAUUUUUUUGGGUUUUUAGUUUUAUUUUAUUUUAUUUUUUUGUGUUUGGUUUGAUUUUUUUGGGUUUUUUUUAUGAAGUUGUUGUGUGAUUUUGAAUGAAAAUAUUCUAUUUUUUUAUUUGUUAUUACAGAUCCAAAUAAGAAUAAGAAAAAUGAGAAAUGAGAAAAAAAAUCUUAAAAGAUAGUAAGUGAGAAUUUAAAGACGACCAAUAAAAAGGAAUGGUUUUGAUGUAAGAGAUAUGAGAGGUAAUGAUGGUCUUAAGAGAUAUGAGGAGUAAUAAUGGUCUUUGAUGGAAUAGAUAUGAGGAGUAAUAAUGGUCUUUGAUAGUAAUAAUAAUCUUUGAUGGAGAACUGGAUUGUGGAAUGACAAAAAGACACGUGGAAUAAAGAAAGAGAAAAGAAAAGAAAAUUAAUUAUGAAAAAUUGAUAUCCUGUAAUAAAGCUAAUACUAGUUGUCUAGCAUCAACAAAAUACAAAAAGUAUUUUUUUUUUAAUUUUAUCAGUUGUUGGAAAUAUAAUUAUACAUAUUAUUUAUUAAACUACCAUUAUAAAUACUAUUUGUUACUUAUUAAAACAUAAUAAUUUUUUUAAGUUUUAAAUUUAUGUUUUUAUUAUUUUAAA